CAGAGGUACUGCUAUCKMGRWUCGACUAAGCCAUGCGAGUUGAAUGUUCUUCGUGAACAUGGCGGACUGCUCAGUAACACGUGGACAACCUACCCUUGGGUCCGGCAUAAUCCUGGGAAACUGGGAAUAAUUCCGGAUAGGUCACCGAUGCUGGAAUGCGCGGUGGCCGAAAGCUCCGGCGCCCGAGGAUGGGUCUGCGGCCUAUCAGGGUUGUAGUGGGUGUAACGUACCUACUAGCCUACGACGGGUACGGGUUGUGAGAGCAAGAGCCCGGAGAUGGAUUCUGAGACACGAAUCCAGGCCCUACGGGGUGCAGCAGGCGCGAAAACUUUACAAUGCGGGAAACCGUGAUAAGGGGAUCUCGAGUGCCAGCAUAUAAUGUUGGCUGUCCAGAUGCCUAAAAAGCAUCUGUUAGCAAGGGCCGGGCAAGACCGGUGCCAGCCGCCGCGGUAACACCGGCGGCCCGAGUGGUAACCGCUAUUAUUGGGUCUAAAGGGUCUGUAGCCGGCCAGGUAAGUCCCUUGGGAAAUCUGGCAGCUCAACUGUCAGGCUGCUAGGGGAUACUGUUUGGCUUGGGACCGGGAGAGGUGAGAGGUACCUUGGGGGUAGGGGUGAAAUCUUGUGAUCCUCGAGGGACCACCAGUGGCGAAGGCGUCUCACCAGAACGGGUCCGACGGUAAGGGACGAAAGCUAGGGGCACGAACCGGAUUAGAUACCCGGGUAGUCCUAGCCGUAAACGAUGCUCGCUAGGUGUCAGUCACGGUGCGACCGUGAUUGGUGCCGUAGGGAAGCCGUGAAGCGAGCCACCUGGGAAGUAUGGCCGCAAGGCUGAAACUUAAAGGAAUUGGCGGGGAGMGCACUACAACGGGUGGAGCCUGCGGUUAAUG
This 887-nucleotide ribosomal RNA is filed under the name uncultured Methanosaeta sp. RNAcentral's name for it is "bacterial SSU rRNA". It matches the Rfam family "Archaeal small subunit ribosomal RNA", at positions 18 to 906 of the family's 1478-position model. The record is from RNAcentral. Lineage: Archaea; Methanobacteriati; Methanobacteriota; Methanomicrobia; Methanotrichales; Methanotrichaceae.